AUUGAACGCUGGCGGCAGGCUUAACACAUGCAAGUCGAGCGGGGAUUAGGUGCUUGCACCUAAUUCUAGCGGCGAACGGGUGAGUAAUACCUGGGAAUCUGCCUUGUAGUGGGGGAUAACGUUCCGAAAGGGGCGCUAAUACCGCAUACGUCCUACGGGAGAAAGGAGGGGAUCUUCGGACCUUCCGCUAUAAGAUGAGCCCAGGUCGGAUUAGCUAGUUGGUGGGGUAAAGGCCUACCAAGGCGACGAUCCGUAGCUGGUCUGAGAGGAUGAUCAGCCACACUGGAACUGAGACACGGUCCAGACUCCUACGGGAGGCAGCAGUGGGGAAUAUUGGACAAUGGGGGAAACCCUGAUCCAGCCAUGCCGCGUGUGUGAAGAAGGCCCUUGGGUUGUAAAGCACUUUAAGCGGGGAGGAAGGUUGCUUGGCUAAUAACCAAGUGAAUUGACGUUACCCGCAGAAUAAGCACCGGCUAACUCUGUG
Molecule: ribosomal RNA, 484 nt
Filed under: uncultured bacterium
Lineage: Bacteria
Description: bacterial SSU rRNA
Rfam family: Bacterial small subunit ribosomal RNA
Source: RNAcentral